GAUAGAUUGGUGACUAACAUGAUAAGUGCAAGAAAUACAUUGGAAUUUUGUGCAGUCUUACCACACCAUUAAGCCAACUAGAUGUCCCCUGCAAUAAUGGAACUGAAGAUACAAUGACAGAUGGCAAGCCGCUGGGACGUAGCACACUGUCUGGAAAGAGCAUACCCCUGUACCAAUGGAACAGCAAGAACUGUGGUUAACUUGGGAGAGUGGAAAUGUGAAAUGGAUAAUGCUCAAAUGAAAUGAAUUUCUUAUGUUUCCAUAAAGUCGCUUAAUGAGCUGUAUCCCAUGAGAUCAUACUGGAGACCCACGACAGUUAAGUCCAUGUAGCCAACUGAAGCCUGCUUUUGUGUCUAGAAUGCUCUUUCUCAAAGCUCUGCUGGCUACCCUCACUCUUGCCUGCCCCUCACUCAUUAAAAUAGGACGCUUGGCUGUAUGUUGAAAGC
This is a long non-coding RNA of Mesocricetus auratus (golden hamster), 446 nucleotides long. RefSeq lists it as uncharacterized. NCBI's taxonomy places the organism in Eukaryota, Metazoa, Chordata, Mammalia, Rodentia, Cricetidae. The record is from RefSeq and is a predicted model, not a curated record. The transcript is spliced from 3 exons.